GCUAAACACGUGUACGUGACCAAUAACAUUUUAUUUGAUUAUAAGGGAAUCAGUCAAUUUAAAUAAAUGCAUUAGGCCCUAAUCUAUUGAUUUCACAUGGCUGGGCAGGGGUGCAGCCAUGGGUAGGCUUGGGGAGCCAGGCCCAGCUAAUCAGAAUGAGUUUUUCCCACAAAAAGGGCUUUAUGAUAAACAGAAAUACUCCUCAGUUUCAUCAGCUGUCUGGGUGACUGGUCUCAGACAAUCCUGCAGGUGAAGUAGCUGGAUGAGGAGGUCCAGGGCUGGAGUGGUUACACGUGAACUGCAGUUGUGAGGCCGGUUGGACAUCCUGCAAAAUUCUCUAACAUUAUUAAUAUUAAAUUCUCUGGCAACAGCUCUGGUAGGCAUUCUUGCAGUCAGCAUGCCAAUUGCACACUCCCUCAAAACUUGAGACAUCUGUGGUAUUGGGUUGUAUGACAAAACUGCACAUUUAUUGUCUGCAGCACAAGGUGCACCUGUGUAAUGAUCAUGCUGUUUAAUCAGCUUCUUGAUAUGCCACACCUGUCAAGUGGAUGCGUUAACUUGGCAAAGGAUAAAUGCUCACUUACAUGGAUGUAAACAAAUUAGUGCACAAAAUUUGAGCAAAAUAAGCUUUUGGUGCGUAUGGAACUUUUUAAAAUAUAUUUUAUUUCAGUUCAUGAAAUGGGACCAACACUUUACAUGUUGGGUUUAUAUAUUUUUUUCAGUAUAGGUAGGUCGUGAAUGGUCUCUCUCCAGUACAGUAGGUGGCAGUGUAUGCUCCGCCAAAGCAAUCCAAAAGAAGAAGUAUUUUUGUCCUCGUCUGGGGCGGCAAACGAGCGAAGUGGAGCUCCUUUUUAAAAACUUUUGUUCAAACCUUACAUGUUGCUGUGUAUUGACUAAAGGAGAUGAUUCGCAUGGAUGGAAAUGACCGAAACCAAUGUGGUUCAGCAUAUCUCAACGAGUCCGGUGUCCUUGAAGUCGAGAUGCAUGCUGACAAAGAAUUGUUGGAGAGAAGUUUCCAAAGCCAUCUGUUUGAACCCCCAGGAGGUGAUGCCCCUCUGUGCUCCUCUUCAGCCCAGUGGGUUCUGACUCAUCAGUUGAUGCACUUCCUCUCUUGUGUUAGGUUUUGUACCACUUCCUGGUUCCAACGCUUGUCCUGAUGGAGUGAAGGAGCAGAAUCAAACUAACCGUUGAUGUUUUGACUGAUGUAUAUUCAUAGAAAUAGAUUAAAUGUAAUCUAUAGUGGUGUAUUGUCAUCAGGAGAACCAUUUGUCAAAGAUUCAGUGAAGUAUGAUAUUAUCCACUUACUCAAGGAGAAGGUAGCAAGCUAUAAGCAUGAGAAUGCUCUUGCAGGGGGCUCUGUAAUGCUCAUAUCACAUUUGUAUGAAUGUAUUUCUGGAAUAUACUGUUCUCUUAGUGGCGUAAACUAAUGUGGCACGAUGUCAGAACUAUUUUGCCUUACAUUUGUCCAUGAUUCAUCAAUAAAACUAGUAAACAAACUUGUAUCCAUGUCAAUCUAUUCCUUUUUAUUACAGCGAACA
RNAcentral lists this long non-coding RNA (1538 nucleotides) under Oncorhynchus kisutch (coho salmon). RNAcentral's name for it is "lncRNA (ENSOKIG00005029518.1)". The record is from RNAcentral. Lineage: Eukaryota; Metazoa; Chordata; Actinopteri; Salmoniformes; Salmonidae.